AUAUCAAUAAGCGGAGGAAAAGAAACCAACAGGGAUUGCCUUAGUAGCGGCGAGUGAAGCGGCAAAAGCUCAAAUUUGAAAUCUGCCAGUAAUGGUCGAAUUGUAAUUUGAAGAUGGUAACUCAGGUUGUGGCCUUGCUCAAGUUCCUUGGAAUAGGACAUCAUGGAGGGUGAGAAUCCCGUGAGGCGAGGGUCCCAUAACUGUGUUGAGUGCUGUCAACGAGUCGAGUUGUUUGGGAAUGCAGCUCUAAGUGGGUGGUAAAUUCCAUCUAAAGCUAAAUAUUGGCGAGAGACCGAUAGCGAACAAGUACUGUGAAGGAAAGAUGAAAAGAACUUUGAAAAGAGAGUGAAAAAGUACGUGAAAUUGUUGAAAUGGAAGGGCUUGAAGCCAGACAUGGUGUUUAACGCUCCACUGUUCUUUGGAACUGUGUACUCGUUUUCCACUGGGUCAGCAUCAGUUUUGGCGGCAGGAUAAAGUGCAAGGAAUGUAGCAACUUUGUUGUAUUAUAGCCUUGCUCAAUACUGCCAGCCGGGACUGAGGACUGCAUUUUCAGGAUGCUGGCGUAAUGGCUUUAAGCCAC
Molecule: ribosomal RNA, 580 nt
Filed under: [Candida] sp. BG02-7-21-004C-1-1
Lineage: Eukaryota; Fungi; Ascomycota; Saccharomycetes; Saccharomycetales
Description: eukaryotic LSU rRNA
Rfam family: Eukaryotic large subunit ribosomal RNA
Source: RNAcentral